This 19929-nucleotide long non-coding RNA is filed under the name Mytilus galloprovincialis (Mediterranean mussel). The record is from RNAcentral. Lineage: Eukaryota; Metazoa; Mollusca; Bivalvia; Mytilida; Mytilidae.
UAUACUUAAACGCUACAUUCAUUUGACAGAGGUGCGUGCGGGUGUGUAGAUAUGGCUGUUAAACGAGAAGAUCUAUCAUGCCUUGAGAAGUUUGACGCAGAUUCUGUUCUAGAGGUGUUAAGGUCAAGAUAUGCAAACGAUGAAAUUUAUGUAAGUACUGAUAAAAAAUUAUUCAAUGUUUUCCAAAGUUAAGUUAUUUUCUGAACCCUAUAUUUAAAAAUACUCAUUAUAAAAAAAAAAAGCUCAUCAAAGAUUCCAGGCUGAAAACGCAUAUAUUUUGGUAUACUGUUAUUUUUAAUUGUAUUUUAGAUAAAUCUAUACCAAAUCUACAAGUAAAUCAAGAAAUGAACGGUUAAUUAUUGUAUCUUUGGUUCUACGGUUAAAAUUAAAGUUUGAUUCAAUAGAUAUUGUACAACCAAGUAUUUUCGUCUGUCCUACUAGUUUUGAAAUAAGCAACACAACGGGUGCCACAUGUGGAACAGGAUCUGCUUACCCUUCCGGAGCACCUGAGAUCACCCCUAGUUUUUGGAGGGGUUCGUGUUGUUUAUUCUUUAGUUUUCUAUGAUGUGUCAUGUGUACUAUUGCUUGUCUGCUUGUCUUUUUCAUUUUUAGCCAUGACGUUGUCAGUUUAUUUUCGAUUUAUGAGUUUGACUGUCCCUUUGGUAUCUUUCGUCCCUCUUUUAUGAACUUUGAAAAUCUCAAAAAUGUCCUCGAUUUUCUUAAAACUAAUAAAGAGGUGUGACAAAUUUUCGUGGCCUUAAAAAUAUGAGAAAACUUUCAUCAAUCAAAACUUGUCUAUUAUUAUGUCUCUAAUGAUACACAACAAAAUAACUAUACCAUAUUCGAAAUCAGGCAGUAUGUCCAUGAAUUUUACUAUGUUGUAACCAUAGUUUACAUAAUCAGGUUUGAAGAAUGGUGGCAAAAUUUAAAACUUAAAAACCUCGCAUAUUGAAAUAUUCUCGUUGAUGAUGUCUGAUAAUCAAAGCCGAAUGCGAAGAUUUUCAGCCAAGUUAACGUUGCGCACGAUGUUCCUACAACACGACGUUACACCACCAAGAUGUCGAAGAGAGUUUUCUGAAACUUUUGACGUACAUUUAUUCAAUUUGUAAGUUUAAUUGCUUUUUUAUGUAGUUGGUUGAUUCUAAAUCUGUCUCUAUUAAUUUUGUGAUGUCUACUUACCAUGAAUUUAUUUACCUCAAGUUGUGGAAAUCGAUUAAAUAAUUUUUACCCUUAAUUCACCUUAAAAUGUUGUAUUGUCGUAAGUACAUAAAAAUGAAGUAAUGAACUUGAAGGAAGGAAAAAUGAGACAGAAGUAUACGGUUUUUAAUAAAUGAAUUAUAACAAAACUUUAAUCGCAGGCUGUUAAAUUGUAUGGUGCAUAUAUCAUCUGUCAUUGUAAGUUUUUCAUAUCUUGAUUCAACCCUAAUACAAAUAUAUCCGACACUCUGCAAGUAAAUAAAAACAUAUUUACCCUUCAAAGUUGAUUAAUUUGAAUUGAAUUGUAUUAAAAAUUUGCUUGACACAUAACUUGUCGAAAUACAACCAUUAAAUAGAAUUACUAUAACCCGAUCUUGAAAAUUAUUUUCCCAGUCAUUUGAAGUUGCUUGCUUUUAAAAUGUACUAAUUUUCUCCUAAAUCGUCCGUAUAAUACAGGGAUGCAUUAAUUUAAUGAAACUGUUUUUGUCGCUGUUUCCGAUAAGUCUUUCAGUUACCUCCGUUUCAUGCACCGUGGUUUUUAUUUUCGACAACCAGCAUUUUUUUUUUAAAUUUCACCACGCGAUUAGUUUUAAGUAUCAGGAAUAUACAAUAGAACAAAUUUUGCACAACUCAUGUAACGUCGAAAAAAAAGCGUUUGUUUGGAUUUUUCGACGUUUUGACAAAAUGGCUACCGUUUUUCAAUGUUUCGUAGCAUUUUAUUCCUGUAAGACCCAAACAUGCAGUUAAUAAAAAAGAAUCUAGACUUUAUGUACUAUUCGUGUAUCUAACUUUUGUUUUGGUAAAUUAUAAAUUACUUAUUGAAAUAUCAGGUAAAAUACCCGCAUUAAUUGCUUGGACAAAUGAAAUAUCAACUUGGACAAAAUGACUACCGCUUGAAAAACGACUGUGUGUAGAGAUGGUUUUAUAGAAUCUACAAUUUUUGAACUCACGAACAAUGAGGCAAAUGUUUGUUCUUUCGGUAGAUGUUAUAAUUAUCUCACAUUUUUUAGACAUUUUUUUUUGUCUACUUAUAAAACUACUUUUCAGCCGUUAAGUCAACGAAAAACGUCAUUGGACAUUUUUCUUAUUCCAGCUUAAUAUGCAGCCGCCGAGUAAAACGAAAUUCAACAAAAGAACGGCUUUAAUUUAAUUGAGAACUGACACACUUCGUUGCUUCUGCCAAGUUUCGGGAAGAUCAGAGAAUAAGAAAUAGGAUCAUUAUACAUUAGAGAUAAAACAGUUGUUUAAAAAUGUAACGUUGGACAUCCGUUUUUUCACAUAGCUUUGUUGUUUUAAUCCUCAAAUAUACUAGAUAUUACUAAGCAUAUAACCAAGAGCUAUAAGAACAUAAAGGAAAACAUAUACUGAAUUAGUUUUUAUAGUGGUUAGUGUUUGUUAACAAUUUAUUUUGUUUUGCGGAGGAAAUUUCGAAGAUUCUGUUUUAAAUCAUAGGGGUUGUAGGAACAGCGUGCGUGACGUUCUUUUCUCCAAUUUCGCUCUAAUACUACUUUCCUGACGAAGUUAUCGUUUUUUAGGAUAGACUGUUUUCGUAUAACGUAUACACUUAUAUCUAUUAUUCUAGUAUGAAGGCAAGAAUGUAUAUAAUAUAUAGUUGUUAAUGUCUGUGUCAUUUUGGUCAUUUGUGGACAGUUGUCUCAUUGGCAAUCAUACCACAUCUUCUUUUUUUUAUAAAAUAUAUAGUGUUGUCGAUAGUCCAGCAAGUCUACUAGAUAUUGUGGUGUCCAUUGUUAAUGUUUCUCUGUUUGCGGCGGGCUAGAAAGUGAUAGUAACAGGAAACAAUUAAAAAAAACAACACUUUUAAUAAUUUCAAUGCGUCAGCUGAAGCGCUUUUUUGGAUUUACCUUCAUCAGGAAUGCUCAAAGCCAAACUUUUCAAAUCCGAGGAUGUAUAAGCCCCAAAACCGUUGAAGAGCUAUUUGACAAAAAAUACCUAAAAUUAAUAGUCAAAUUCAUCUUAAGUCAACUUUGCCUGAGGAAGAUGAAACCUUAGUUUCUUAAUUAUUUCAAAAUUUAUAAACGGACAAUUUUUGAAAAGUUUAUUAAAUCAUACUGAGCUGAUGAUACCCAUGGGGACUGAUAGUCCAGCAGCAGAGGUAUCGACCCAGUGAUGUAAAAAAAAAAAAAAAUGAAAACAACACGUUUAAUAAUUUCAAUGCGUCCGAAGUUUUUUGAAUCCUGUCAGUACCGAAGUACUGACUACUGAGCUGAUGAUACCCUCGGGGACUGAUAGUCCACCAGGAAAACAUUUUCCGCAUAAAACUAGUCACGUGUGUGCUGUUAGUUGUUUGUCUUUUUUAUUUUUAGCCAUGGUGUUGUCAGUUUGUUUUAGAUUUAUGAGUUUGACUGUCCAUUUGGUAUCUUUCGUCCCUCUUUUAUACCUAGUGACGCAAACUUAUAAAACUAUACGCUAGUUCAGUACAUACAAUUACUUAUCCCUUUACUAAGAAAGUAUAGAUAUAUGAUUGCCUCUGCCAACGUGAGCGAAAAAGUUCGUUUCGUUGUAAGAAAAAAACAUUUAUAUGCAAUCUUUAUUACCAUUCUUUUCUGUGGCUCACGUUUGCGGACGGCUUAAGAAACGAAGACUUCCGGCCACAGACAUUCGUCCAUCUUUUGACAUAAUCAAAUCAAUUUAAGCAACCCAAAACAAGGUUUCUAUUAUACUAAAAGAUAAAAUCCGUUGGUGAUAUUACAGAACAGAUUAUAUGCAAAUUACUUACUUUAAUAAUUUCAUUUAUUUGAUGAAUUAUUUUUACAAAAAGGGGGCAAAAUACGGCCUUUAGGGUACCUUGUCUUUUGUUUCAUUCAGUAGAUCAAAAUCCGAACACGACAAAAAAGUCAAAAAAUAGCCUUGUCGUUUUCAUAUAUAGCAAGCGUCAUAGAUAACUAUAAGCACAUGAACAUUUUUGUUUUGGCCAAUAUAACAUUGAUACUUGAUGUAUUAUCUUUUUUUUUUCACACAACGUUGUCAAUACAAUGUAAUGUUAUGCAACUACCAUAUACGUGAAAAGUUUGGUGAGCUAUGAAACCAGGUUAAAUAAAAAUAUAUAAUAUAUAAAGACUACAGUAGUAUACCGCUGUUCGAAAUUCAUAAAUCGAUAGAGAAAAAAACAAAUCCGGAUAACAAACUUAAACUGAGGUAAACGCAUCACAUAUAAGAGGAGAACUACGACACUACAGAAACACAACCUUAAAAUGUAACAUACACAGAAACGAACUGUAAUAUAUAACAAUGGCCAUUUUCCUGACUUGGUACAGGGCAUUUUAAAUAAAAAUGGUGGGUUGAACCUGGUUUUGUGACAUACCAAACCUCCCGUUUUAAUGGCAAUGUUAAUUAUAACAUUAAAAUGACAAUAUUACAUGACAGGACUUCAAUAUCAAUAAAUGAGAGAAAAUAUAGGACAGAGAAACAAAUGUAUAAUAGCCAACAAAUGUACCAGGUUAAAAAUUUAACACGCCAGACGUGUUAUAUAUAGAAAAUGCCUGUGCCAAGUCAAUAAUAUGACAGUUGUUAUCUACGAUUGAUGUAUAUAAGCUUUUGAUUUUGCUAUUUGAUCACGGAGUUUCCGCUUUGAAUGUUCUCGGAAUUCGGUAUUUUUGUUAUUUUCCUUUUUACUAGAAAAUUAUUUGCUGGAGUUUUAUUUUGGAACUAUUUGUUUUCGCUAAUCAUAUACGAUUAAUUAAUAUAUAUAUUUUGACAAAUUGGCCUUAUCCAUUUAAUUAAGUAUAUGUUUACACAAUAAGUAGGAAGUGCGAUCUUUUCUAUUGAUAAUAUGUACCUUUGCCUAUUGGAAUUUUUAGGGGAGGAACAUACGUUUGAGAAUAUAAAUCUUUUUGACAUCUUAUACAAUUGUCUUCUAAAUGAAUGCAGAAAUCAUGAAAACGAGGACAGUGAAGGACGAUAAUUCCUGAUUUUAUUUUUAUGUUACAAAUUUAUAUCACAUAUAUUUUGUAAUAUAUUUUUUCAGUACAUAUUAAAAGUAUUUAUUUUUCAGUAUAUGUCACGGGUAUAUAUCUUUCAUUUUAUGUCACAGGUAUACAUUAAUAAACUGUAUAAUCUACAAAUUGAUAAAUGAAAACAACACUUUCUUAAUUAUAUAUAUAUGCGUCCGUAUCGUUGCCUAGAUAGCAACUCAUUCGGCUCUCCCUUGACACCAUUUGCGAGUUUGGUCUUGAGGAAACGAUGAUAAUCCGUCGGAAGGGGACGAUAAAUUGUUGACCCGUGUUAAGAGAGAGCCAUAUCUCUUGCACGAUAAAGACACCAUUGUAGAUUUCGAAAAGGAGCAGGCUAAUGCCGAUAUAAGGCAACACUCGCACCUGCAAAGUGGAAAGGGAUUAUUAGAAGUUGCAAAACUUGUUUCCCAAUCAACUAUAAAUAAAUAUGUUUAAACUUACUCAUUUAAUAAAAGAAAAGUUUAAUUAACAAAUGGGAACUCAUAGAAAGUUAAAAUAUAAAUAUCAUGGUUCUUUCAAAUCACUUACUUGUCACGAGGUCCUCAUGUCAUGAUCCGGUACACUUUUGCAAACAUGCCAACAAGCACAAUUUCUGGAAAUUUUAAUUUACAAUAGUUCAUUCAUUUAAUUUUCAAUGCACAAUAGGAAAUUUUAAAAGCGUUUUUUGUUCUUUUGAAAGUGUGAAUUCCUGUUCAUCCUACCAAAACUAAACAUAAUGGGACAUAUGACGCGACCAUUGUGCUUCUGUGUUAUCAGAUAGAAAAAUCAAUACAUGUUGUAACAUUUCUGGGUAACACUUAUAUUUAUUAUAAGUAAAAUAUCGGCACUGAUUAAUCUUAUGUAGACUUAUUGAGCGUCUGGCUUAACAAAUGCUAAUCGUGGUAUAUUUGAUGAGGUACAAGUAGAUUUAAAGCUUGUAAUGCCAAUCCUGUCUUAUUCUAGAAAGGAAAAACGUUUAUUCGCCGUGUAUACGUAGCACUACAUAACGAAUUAUUUUUUUAUUGCAAUUAUUUUUUCGCAUAAGAGUCAGUUUUGCUGUUUAAUUAGAUAUAACAUUAAAAUGUUAGAUACUGCAACAGUUUUUACAUAUCGUCCAAAGCAAUGAGUUUGUUAUCAAGCGUAUGUCGUUGGUGUCUGUCGUAAUUGUUAUUCUUUAUGUUUACUUUAAGUAUAAAAAUGAAGAUACCAUGGGAACAUAGCAAAUCCUAAAUAAAAAAGGUCCCACAACGGCCAGAAACAACUACGACGAUAAGUACAAAAAAAUACACAAUACACUAAAACUAAAAGAUUGAAUAUGUAUGAAUCAGGUCAAUAUUUUACUCAAAAAAGUCAUUAAAUCUGUCCACUUUUCUGUCGAUAGUUAUCAAAGGUACCAGGAUUAUAAUUUAUUACGCCAGACGCGCGUUUCGUCUACACAAGACUCAUCAGUGACGCUCAUAUCAAAACAUUUAUUAAGUCAAACAAGUACAAAGUUGUAGAGAAUUGAUGAUCUAAAAGUUGUACCAAAUACGGAUAAGGUAAUCUAUGCCUGGGAUAAGAAAAUCCUUAGUUUUUCGAAACAUUCAAAGUUUUGUAAACAAGAAAUUGAAAGACAUUUUGAUUUAUGUUCUAAUUAUUAUCCUUUAUUUUUGCCAAUCAUGCGUGUAACUUUUGAUUCACUUGACUUUUGUUUAGGUUUAAACCUGACCCUCGUUCACUAACUAACAUACUAGAAUAUGGGGAAAAAUGCGAUAUGUGUAAUAUGUUUUCUCGUAUUCAAUUAGUUUGUGUUUCCCUUUUGGCAUAAGCUCUUCGACCGCUACGGUUCUUAUAAAUCCUUGUUUUUCAACUACUCGCCUUGAGCAUUUACGAUGAAGGUAAAUCUUGAAAAGCAUUUCGUACGAAUGUUAAUUAUAACGUGUUUUUUUUUACGUUUUACAGCAUUAUGUCGAUACCUCUACUGGUGGACUAUCAAUUCCUCAGCGAUCUCUAGUAUAACACACAAUUAAUAUAAUAUCGUAUAGACAUUUCUAUAUGAAAACAAUAAAGUUACCAUACAAGGGUAGUAUAGCAUUUAUUAAUGGAUUUUAAAGAAUGUUUAAGGCAUGUUCUCAACUAAACUACUUUCAACGCAUCAUUUCAUCAUCGGGGUAUCUUGUUUACAAAUUUAUUAAAGGUCUAAGGACUUCAACAAAAUAACAGUACUCUCAUAUAAAGACCCUACAAUACAAUCAUAAAAUAUUAUAAAAACUAGUACAAAGAAAGAUAACUCUGACAUUUUCUGAACAAGUAUAUUGCACUGUAUAACGUUUUAAGUAAAAUAAUAUUGUCAUUCUCUUUUACGUCUAACUGUAAGAUAACUUCUUUUAUUUUGCAUUUCUGUAAAUAUAGGCAAUGCAAUUUCCCAAAGGGACCCUUUAACUGCAAAAACUGUACCACUUCUACUAUGAUUAUUCGAAAAAUAUUAUAUCCUAGAAUGGAAAGCUCAUAUGUACCAUUGUUUUUUUUCAAAUGUCAAAAUAUAGGGCUGUGUGGCGUAUUUUUGAACGUUAAAACAACAUAACAUGUAUGACUAGUAUAAAGUAUGUAUCCCUCAAAGAGGUGUGGUCUUUGAAACAGUUGUAUAUACAAAGUGCAACAGAUAGGAGCUGUUUCCCUUUAAAGACCAAAUUAUUUUUUUUUAUUUAUACAGAUUUACUUUUAUUUUAUUAAUAUUCUUGCCUGUUAUCUUGAAAUCGUCAGUCGGCUCUUUUCUAUAGCAGUUGCCCUUUAAUUCUAACAUUUGUUUUGUUUUUUAUCCUUUUAUCUUAAAAAUUGUAACAAGUAGAUAUAAUCUUAAAUAGGCAACCAUGACCAGAAAGGGAAGAUCUUCAAUUCAGAUAUAUCGGAGAAAUCGUGCGAUGACUCCUUACUAGAGUUAUUGUCCUUUGGUGAGGAUGUUUACCAAUAGUUAUCGUUUCUGCAUUAUAAUUAAAAUUCAUAAUAGAUUGAUGGAAACUUAAUAAGCAAAAUCAGAUAAAAUUUUUAUAUUAAAACAAAUGGAGGAAAUUGUUUCAAGUAUUUGCCCAUUAAUGACGAUUUACAAUUUUAAUGCAAUCUUUUCCUUUAUAUUGAUAAAAAUAGUAAUAAAGAAAUAGACACUUUGAAUCACAAAAAUGAUCAGCAAGUGAAGACACACUAACAAGUCAAAUUUGUUGAUAUGGUUAGUAGAUUGUCACUCUUGUUAGAAGUAAUGGCCCUUAAAUGAGGAUUGUUUUACACGAUUUGGGGUUUUGAGCAAAAGCUUAAGAAUAUAAAGAAAACCUAGACAGAUUAAAUGAUUAAUAAUACUCAAUAAAUAAAACAGAUUUUUUUCAUGGAUUCUUUUUUUUGUAUAUAAUUUUAAAGAAUGUACUUUGUUGCAUAUGAACAUAGACAAAGGUUCACGACACAUUUAAGCAUCUAGUUUAAAGUUAAACAAUAAUGUAAAGGAAAUCGUUAUAUCUUAGAAUUCUUUUAUACUUUGUUUAAGGUUCCACUCCACAUUCUUUUCACAUUUCUUUUAAAUAGGAUAUACUGAAGUAGUGCAUAUACAUAUAAUAUUGGUAGUGUAUAUAAAUAGAAUAUGGAUAAUCAGUACAUAUACGUACACUUAAAAAGGAGUAUUUUAUCAUCUAUAAAGUAAUCUUAACUAUGGUUGAUAGUUGUCUCAUUCACAUAUUCUUAUUUUAUAUAGUUUGAUAUGAGAAUGUAAAAAGUUAUCUUGAAAUGAAUCAACAAACAUUCCCUGAUAAUCAUUUUGCUGUGUAGAUUGUAUCCAAUAGUAGUAAAACAAAAGUAAAACAAAAAACACAAAUACGAUCGAAAGCAUACUCUUUAUGUACAGAUUUGUCAGGGAAAAUGAAAAUUAUAGUAAUAUAACUUAAGCAGAACGUAGAGACAUGGAUACAUGAAAGCAAAUUGAAACUUGUUUACCCCCUCUGAUUAUAUACUAGUAAAAAAAAAAGAAACCUUACAUGCUUAUAAGAUCAUUUAAUUUUUUUAUAACAAAAAAUUGAUAACAAAAAAUUAAUGGAAGAGUUAGCUAACAUGAUUUUGAAGAGAACAAUAACAAGUUUUCUUUAUUGAAAACAAUAUUGCACAUUUUCGGACAAUUUUAACAGGGCGAGUACAGAAUUCGGGUUAACAUGUCAAUAUCUUGUAUGACCACCUCUUUCAUUUAUGACCGACUGCCACCUCCGUCGCGUGGAAUCAAUAAGACGUCGAAUAAAUCUUGAGAGAUGUUGUUUGCUUCCCUGAAAAGUGCUGUUCGGAACUAGGCUAGCGGUUCCGGUGGAUUUUGACUAUUUCUGAUGCGUCGUCCAAGUUCGUCGCAAAGAUGUUCAAUUGGUGAUAAAUCUGUAGACAUUGCUGGCCAAGGCAACACACGAAUAUAGUUAUUCUCUAAAAAGGUCAUCGAAAUGUGUGCCACCUGAAAACGGGCGUUGUCCUGCUGAAAAACGUGAUUAAAACGAUGUCUUCUGAGAAACGGGAGAACAACUGGAGCAGAAUUUCGUCCCUAUACCUUGUUGCAUUUAGGUUACCAACUAUGAUUUUGAGCUCGGUGCGUUCCUGGUAGGUAAUUCCGCCCAAACCAAUCUGUUUCCUGCACGCACGCAUCAGAAAAUUGUUCAUUGCGUCUCUGGUAGACCCUGGCUCUGCCGUCGCUAAAUUCAAGUUGAAUUUAGAUUCAUGGUAAAGAACCUGUCUCCAUGUUUGCCUAUUCCAUCGAAUCCGUACCCGUGUCCAUUGAAGUCGCACCAUUCUGUGAAGGUGAGUAAGGAUAGGUCCCUUCAAUGGACGACGAUCUCUUAGACCAACUUGACGCAAUCGGUUACGAACUGUUUGAGCAGAUAUUCUGUUGUUAUGUCUUCCGUGGGUUUGUCGUGCAGUUUGUGACGUGUUUACAAAUCGAUUCCGGAGAUGAAUGAUGCGGAUGUGUCUAUCUUGACGUAACGUCGUUUCACGUGGCCUGUCACUACGGGGGCGAUCAUUUGUUGUGCCAGUAUCCUAAGACGCUCUAAGCAUUGCAAUAGUCAUUUAGAGACAUUAAAUGAUUUUGCAACAUGCACUUGGAUCAUUCCUGCUGCCAACAUCCCAAUAGCUCGUUCUCUCUCAUUUUGCGUAGACGGGGCAUUGUUUUACGUGUAACUUUUUCUAUUUUUUAAUUUGACCUUUUUGUUAACAAUCGUGUUCGACACAAUAAAUGACAAAAAGGACAACUCGAUUUAUACAGGUAAUUUUUGGAAAAAAAAUAGUUAUUUGUUUGAAAUCAGAAAUGACGUCAAUAUAUUUAUAAAAAUGAGAAAUUUGAUAGAUACAUCAUCAGUUACAAGUUUUAAUCAUGAAAAUAUUUGAAAUUAAUAUAUGUGAUAUUUUCAAAUUAAAAACCAAUGUAAAGUUUCCUUUUUUUUGCCUUGUAUAUGAUAAUAGUUUAUUUGAGGUCGUUUUUGACCAAUAUAAUGCUCACACAUUGUUUAUAGCUUUUGGACUGUUUCUGAAAUUUAUUCUUACAUGCCUUUGAUUUUUUAACCCUAUAUGCUAAAAUUGCCCAUGUAAAUUUUAAAAUUGUUUGUAUGCACAUUGCACGACAAAUUUAUGUGACGUAUAAAAUUUUCUGACGUCAGACACACAAAUCAAUGAAUGUGUUUGUAGAUAUAUGAUUUGUGUUCUGUUAAAUUGUUCCUUUUAAAAUUGUUAUAUACGAUGAUGGACUGAUGUACCCAUAUUUUGACUAUUUUAUUUAUGUGUCUGUUUAGUUAACGCAUCAAUGUAAAUAUAACGGAAUUUGAUGAGACUGUCAUCAAAGUGAGAUGGUUAGCGCUAUAAAACCAGGUUUAAUCCACCAUUUUCUACAUUUGAAAAUGUCUGUACCAAGUCAGGAAUAUGACAGUUCUUGUCCAUUCGUUUUUUAUGCGUUUUGUUAUUUGAUUUUGCCAUGUGAUUAUGGACUUUCUGAAUUGAUUUUCCUCUAAGUUCAGUAUUUUUGUGAUUUUACUUUUUUCAUAUAAUGUGGAAGUUUUAUUCAUACCAAAUAAGAAAAAAAUCUACUUGAUUAUCAUUCUAUUUUGUGCCGUAAUAUCCUGUCUCACCUCAGAAAUGGGUUUGGAUCCAGUUAAAUAAUUCAAUCUGUUGCUUAUACAUAGCUAUAGGAAGAUGUGCUAUGAGUGUCAAUUAGACAACUCUCAAUCCAAGUAAAAAUUUAUAAAACUGUAAACCAUUAUAGGUUAAGGUACGGCCUUCAACACGGAGCCUUGGCUCACACCAAACAGCAAGCGCCCCAAAAAUUACUAGUGUAAAACCAUUCAAAUGGGAAAACCAACGGUAGAAUCUAAAUUAAAACGAGUAACACGUAUAUGAACUACAUAAACAUACGACAACUACUGUACAUCAGAUUCCUGACUAAGGACAGGUGCAGCGGAAUUACACGUUUUAAUAGUACCAAACCUUUUCUGAAUCAAUAGUAUAACAUCUCAACAUAGAAAGAUACUCUAUCAAAUACCAAUUGGAAGGCUUAACUCAAUCAAAAAACGCAAAUUAACACACAAUGAAUACUUAUAAUACCUGUCCAAAUCUGGAGCCUGUUUUUUGUUUGAUUAUUAUCGUGUCUGUUUGUCGUUGUCGUUUGGGUAUAAUUUGAUGUUUUCUUUCCAUUUGAACUUAUCUAAGACAUGUAUUAAUAAGACAGACAGAUGGAGAUAUGUGCAUGAUGGUGAAACUAUACCACAUAUGGAGGAGACGCUCAGGCCUAUAAUUUGUAUAACUUUCCAUUAAACUCAAAUUUAUUGUUUCUUUAAUAGAACUAAUUAAACAAAUGCAGUUUAAUCUUUUUUUGUUCGGAAUCUUUAAAGGAUAUUCUUUUGUGUCAAUUAAUUCUUCUGCAUUGAUAACCGUUUCUUUUAAUUUAUCAAUGAUCAUAUUUGUGUACAUUUACGUUUUAUCUUCAUGAUCACAGGCAAUUAGAAUGCAUUCCCUAUUUACCUCGUGUGUUUUAUCAAUGAAACCUUUUGUAUCUUAAAGUUAAAAGUUAUGCCUCUUCAAAAAUGGUUUUAUAUUAGAUCAUUUAAUCUCUCAAUGCGUCUCGAGGGAGAGUUACGCUUAUUCGGAUUAUCAGUCGUAAGGAACAUCUUUAAAUGUCUCCUACCAGUUGAUCAUUUCACAAUGCCUCAAUAAUUAAUUUAAUGAAUUUUUGAAAGACUGAGGUACAUGUGUCCAUGUUUUGAAUCAUUAUUAUUCUUUAAAAAUUAUAUGUAUGGGAAUCUAUUUCUUUUUUUUCUAUAUAGACUAUCAACUAUAUCUUUCAUAACUGUAUAGCAUUUAACAGUUUAAGUGAGUGAGAUAUCUGUGUAAAGUUCUUUAUUGCCAAGUUUUAGAUAUCGUAAAUGCUACGUAUGUAGGUGCUCUUAAUUGCCUGAAGCUAAUACAGAUAAGAAGAAUCAAUGUUCCGAAUGAACAAUAAUUAAGGUUCCGAAUAUUCCUUCAUAGACCAUAUUUCUAACGCAGGGGUUCACGCAUAAAUGUACAUUUAGUUGAAACAAUAUUUUAUUCAAAAAGUGCAUGAAAUAUAAUUAUACAAUGUACAUUAACUACUGCAUAUUUACCAGCAUUUUUUUUUAUACUUUCUGCAUUUCAGACAAAUUGUGGUGAAAUUUUAUUGGCUGUAAACCCAUACAAAACAUUACCAAUAUUUGAUAAUGAAGUGAGUAUUAUACAAUGGGUAGUGUAAAAAAAAAACAAAUAAAAAAAUUCUUUUUGAUUUUUUAAAACUGCAUAAAUAUAUAAUGACAAAGUUAUUAUAAUAUUGUGCACCAAAGACUCAUCAGAGACGCUCGCAUAAAAAAAGUUAUAAAGGCUAAAUAAAGUACGAAGUUGAAGAGCAAUGAGUACCAAACAUCCCUUACAUGUUUGCUAAAUAAAGCUGAGGUAACCUAUUCCUGAGGUAGAAUAGCCGUUGUAUUUCAAAAAUUCAAAGUUUUGUAAACAGUUUAUUUAUUUAUUUAAUUAUUGUUUAGUGAUACCAUUGUAAUAGUGUGGUAUAAUAUAUAAUGUCUCCUCUUUAUUUACCAUAUAACUCAAACAGUUACACCACCAACAACACUUACCCAACGAAUAACACAAGUCGGUCAACUAGGGAUAUUAGAAUAGGUUUUCUAAUAUGUAUGGGACACUUUUCCUGGUCGGCUCAAGUAAAAUUUAUUGCGUAAAGUAUAAAAUGCUUCAUUUAUUUAUUUAAGAACCAUGAAAAAUACGACUGGAAAAGAUUUGAGGCAAACAUGCCACCGCAUAUUUUCAAUGUUGCGGCUCGUGCAUACCAAAGAAUACAGGAAGCAAAAACUAAUCAAGUCAUUCUUGUCAGUGGAGAAUCUGGAGCCGGUAAAACAGAAAGUACAAAACUCAUGGUUGAGCACUUGGUUUACAUGAGCCCAAAUGGAAGCGACGACUUGCACAACAAAAUUGUACAGGUAACAUGUAUAAUGGAGAAUCUUUUAAAAAGUUCCUGCCAAGAAAUAUGCUGUAUUUAAAAAAAAAUUAAGAUAUCAAUGUAAGGUGUAUUCGUGUUUAUAUUUUUGUGUAUAUGUGUAUGUCUGUUUGUAUAUGUGUAUGUUUUGAAGAGUUGUGUAGAUUAGACAUCAUUAAACAAGAGUUCGUGCACUAGAAGUUCAACACAGCGGAAUCAGAAGCUUGCGCCCUCUCCAUUUAUGCAGCUUAUCGUGUCAGUUCUCUUAAAAUAAAUCAUAAAUAAAUAAACAAUAGUAGUAUACCGUGGUUUAAAAGUCAAAGAUCGAUUGAGAGGGAAAUCCGGGGAACAAACAAAAACCGAGGGAAACAUAUUAAAUGAAGGAGAAAAAACGAUACAACAGACACACUGCAACACAAACAAAUGUCAUCAUACAUAAAAACGGAUUAAACAAAAUAAACAACCGAAAGGAAUCGUUUGAAUUUAAAAAGGAUAAGAAUAACGACAGAGUAAGCGUAUCUUGCUAGACACGAAUCACCAACCAUUUGAGAUCAAAAUCGGUAGAAUUACAAAUAAAUCGAAUAUUCUGGAAUCAAAAUAUCUAAGACCGCGAAAAAAUGUCGCUUGUGACUUCAACAAAUUCAUUAACGCUUUAUACGGUUUGUUGAGAAAUACCCAAUAACCUUAAACUGUUAAAUCUAAUUAGGAUUGGACAAGAUCUUGAAAAUUGUUUUUGGUACGAAAUAAACGUAUGACAAUUGACCCUGCCUCUUUCAAUUAAGUAGUCUCCUAAUUACUUUUCUCUAUCUGCAAUUAUGGAAUUCUCCUGUAACACAUGUGAUAUAACGGUGACUUACUGUACUAUAAAUCUUAUAUUCGAUCUCUGAUGGUACAUUGGAGAAACAUAUUUGUUUCAUUAAUUAAAGAUAUUUGAACACAUUUAAAAUCUAGAUAUGCAGUAUCAGUUUGUAGUGUUUAAAAUUUGUAUCACUUAGUUACGGUGAAAAAGGAUUUAAUUUUAACACACCUUUGAUUUUUUAACGGCACCUGUUAAUAUUCGAAUAAGCGCUGGACAUGAAUUAGUUUUUGUUUUUACACUUAUACGGCGUAAUUCAAACAAUAUUACAUUAAAUGGUUAUAUGCGAUGGAUGGUACAUUAGUAGUUUAUAUAAUAUGCUUCUUAUUGUUGUUUUCUAGUCCUAGAUGCAUGCAUGGCGACAAACCCUCAGUUAUUAUUUUUUUGAAUUGGUGUCUUCACCGUGCAUGUCUGAUAUACUAUAAAUGUAAAUACGCUAGGUUUUGACACUUUUGUCGUGUUUUAAUAUAUUGUAUAAAUUUUGUUUCAGGUUAAUCCACUUCUGGAAGCCUUUGGAAAUGCACAGACAAUAAUCAACGAUAACUCCAGUCGAUUUGCUAAAUUUUUAGAACUCAGCUUUGACGAGAGCGGACAGGUUAUCGGAGGUAUUUGAUAUUUUAUUUUAUUAAUAGAAUAGUUUAAAAAGGAAUUAUAAUUGUUCAAACUAUUGAAAGUAAUUGAAUUUGCUCUAGGUGUGUCGCUUUUAAUAUGAAGCACACAGCACCUUUUUAAUCUCAACAUGUGCUACAGGAAGAGAGAAAUCCAUUAAACGCGACUAAACCAAACGUUAGACUUCGCAAACAAACGGAACGAAUGGGAACAAAUUGUCAUAUAUAACAAUUUGCAAUCCAUAAUUGUGAAGACUGAUUUACCAAAUUCAAUCCCUUAAUGAUAUAAAAAGAUAAUACAAAAGUCGUAUCUAUAAAUAUAGAAUAAAGGAACGUAAAAUUAGAAUCUGCUAAAAAAAAAAAGGAUGCAUAAAAUACAAAAUAAAAGGCUUCAAGAAAUAUAGAAAUAUUUAAAUACAGAACUAGAUAAUAACAAUUCAUUGGGUAGCCGCUAAAUGUCCCUGUCAUAGAAGAAAAAGUUGGGGGGAGAGGGGGUGGGGGUGUGUGGGGGGGGUGUUAAAAAAAAACAAAAAUGUUUUGCCUGUCAUCUCGGGAAUAUGACAGUUGUUAUCCAUUAUUUUGAUGUGUUUGGGCUUUUUGUUUUGUCUUUUGAUUAGGAGCUUUCCGUUUUGAAUGUUCCUCGGAGUUAAUGUGAUUUUACUUUAAACAAGUAACGUACUUAAACAUUAAUCAAUCAUGAUGACAAAUAGCACAAACAAAAUCAGUUAGUCCAAAGAUUUAAAGAAAUGAAGGUGCAUUAAUAAGUUGAUGAAUACAAAAAGAAGUUUUUAAUAACUUUUUGAAUUAUCCCUUGUAAGUAGUUUUGACAACCCUAUUCGUCUUACAUUCUAAGAUUAUUCGAAACGCGACCAUACUGAAAGUGUUAUAAAACUCAUACAAAAUAAAUUGUAUCCUUUCGAAUGAUACACGUAUAUAUCAGUACAAUGAAUUAUAUGCAGCAGGUAACACAAUCAUUAAUAAAAUUUUGAAAAAAGUUUAUUUCAUAUCUUGAGUUUCAGCACAUUGCCAUUUUACGAAAUUUUGUUUAACAUUCUUUAUUCAGUUGCUUAAAGGAACAAUAACAUUGCCAACUUUAUAACACAUCUUUUCUAGCUGCAAUUCGUGACUACAUGUUAGAAAAGGCAAGAGUUGUUACUUGCAAUGAAGGUGAAAGAAAUUUUCAUAUUUUCUAUUACCUGUUUGCUGGAGCCAGUAAACAACAACUGAGCGACCUUAAUUUGUCGGAAAGCAAAAAUUAUAGGUAUGUAUAAUUAUAGAUCUAGUAUAACAAAAAAAUAGAAAAAAAAUACGAAUCAAGUAGAUUUGUUGGUUAUGAAGACAUACUCUCUCAAUUAAAAUAUUUGAAAACUGGCUGGCAUGUCAGUAAAUGGUAGUAGAGCCUUGUUAGUUGGUGUAUCAUUGUCUUUUUGCUAACUUUCUUUAAAAUUUAUAGCCUUCUCUGACAUCAGACUCGGACUUAUUUUUAACCGAGCCUUACUGGUUUUUUUUUUAUUGCUGAGUGUUUGUUUAUUACACAUUAAUAAGGGGUAGGGUUGAGCUUUCACAAAACAUGUCCAACCUGCCGCAUUUUAUUUUCGCCCGUUUGAAGUCAGAAGUCUCUGACGAUUGUUAGUCUUGUUUUUUUUUCAUAUUCAGUAUUUUCAUAUAUUUUUGAAUUUCGUGUGUCGUCCAUCAUUUUCAUUGAAUACAUUCACAUUUUGUCUCUUUGACAAGUUCACCAUUACCAUUCUCAUUAAACUAAUUAUACUUUGAUUGAUUUAGGAACAUUCAAAUACGACAUGAUAUACGAUGGUCUGUUUUUUUUUUUUUUUUUAAAUUUUAAUUUUUAAACAAGUACAGAGAAAUAGAUUGUUUUUCAACUUGAAACAAGUUAACAGAUGUAUAGAUACUUUUUGGCAUAAGUCACAUCGUGACUUUUAUCAGACGCGGUUCAGUUAUGUUACAGUAAUUAAAAUCUGCAUAUAUAAUAACAACUUUGUUUUCGGAAGGGGAACGGCGGACAAUGGGUAAGAGGAAUAAAACUGAUAUGAUUUUGAUAUCCUUGUUUUUGGUACCAGUUGCAGUUUAAAUUUGAUUUUUUUUUUAGAAGUAAAGGAUAAGAAUAAAGAAAAUUAUAUAUUUUUUCAGGAUCAUGAAGGGUGGACGUCUCAAAUUGUUGGAAGAAAAACCGAAAUACAGAGAAAAAUACACACAACAGAUGGAUGCCUUGAAAAGGAUAGGCUUCGAUGAUGAUGUUUGUAGUGAUAAAAUGUUCUUCAUUUUGAAUGACAAUUUUCAUUUAAUUGUUAACUUUGCUAUUCCUUUUGUAAUUUUGAUUGGUCAGAUCUAUUGUGUUCCUAAUUUUUAGGAAAUAUACCUUAUCACAGUUGACCAAGUGAUUGCGACAAACUACAUUCAUUAAGGUUUCAUUUCUGUGUUUAUAGACAAUGCACUUUCAAAUGGGAAUUCCUUUUGCGGCUUAAGCUGUGCCACUAUGAAGUUUCGUUUAAAAUCAUAUCCCAGGAUGGAAAGCUUACAUGCACUACUAUUAUAUUCAAAGAUCAAUACAUAGGACUUGGGCGUUAUUUAUAUGCUCGAAACUAUCCCUACCUCAACAUUGGGCCAACUUCAGGAUUUUUCAGGGAUGUAUAAGGACGCAGUCACGUUCAAUUAUUUAACCUUAGCAAAAAAUUAUUAUUUUUCUAAUCAUUAUUAAACUGCUAUCUAUGUUGGAUGUUCGAAUACGCAGCCAUACUUUUAAUUACUCUACCAUUGUCAAAUUUGAAAUAUAAUAUCAGCUUAAAUCGGUCAAUGCUAUUCAUUGAGAAUGUAUUUCUGCUUUUUGGUCCGGUUGAUGUCUCUUUGAGACAUUUCCCAUUUUCAUUCUCUAUUAUUUAAUAUAUUUUCAGGACAUGAACAUUUUACACUGCAUGUUAGGAGCGAUUAUUCAUUUGACUGAAGUGAAGUUCAAGGAGGCGGACAAAGUAAAUGAGCCUCUAGAAAUAGUGAACAUUGACCAGGUUGAUCUAGGUACUCACAUUAUUACAAAAUUUCUAUUAAAUUUUUUUUUUAUCAUUUUUAUUUAACAAAAAAGCCCUAAGGCUUUCUUCUUAAUGUUUGUGAGUAACACAAUACGUCUUUCCACAAACAUAUACAAUUAAACGAUUGCAGAUAUACGAUUCAACAUACAACACGGAACACUUUAAAAUUAGUAUAUCAACGUCAGUUUUUAAUGAUAAUAAUAUAUGUAAACCGAAAUAGAUAUAGAAGUUUUCUUUAUAGUUCGCCUUUCUUUAUUAUUAUUAUGAAUUAAAAGAAACAACAAUAAAAGUUUUCACACAAUAUGCAGAGGAGAUACUCAAACGUAAAUUCAAAGAACAAAGUGGCAAUGCAAUCAGAAAAAAACCAAAAAAAUAAGUAAUAGUAUACAAAAUGCAAUAUAGAAUACUUAGGAUUAGAACACGAACCCCAUAAAAACCUGUGUUGAUUCCAGGUGCUCCGGAAGGGUGAAUCAGCCAUGAGUGGUUCCUUUUAUGUUGGUUGUUUAAUUAUAAACCUGUUGAUAAGUCUUAUUCGGUUAAUCAUAUUCUUAGGAAAGAUAACGAGGCUACGACAAUUGGGACAUAUUUAUCGUUAUCUUUAAAAGAAAUAUUCCGUAACCAUCAACCAACUUGAGAGUGCGUACCAACAAGCAAUAACUUCAACUUAUUUAGAACCCUUUGUUAAUAGCUUCUUUGUAAGCAACAAUUCUCUGAAAAAUAAAUCAUGAUUGGAAAAUCAAUUUUUGGAUAAUAAUAUCAACUGAGAGAUAAAGAUAUGCUAGAUUUUUGGUACAUAGAAAUGGAAAAACAACAAUUGGGAAAAUGAAAUUUCCCGGUUCAUCGUUAAGUUAUGUUCUCAACCGACCCUCAUAGUCAAUUUCGAGAUUUUAGUCAAGAUAUGAAAUAAACUCAGUUGUAUUUUGUUUCCCUUAUUUCAAUUGCAAGGCUAUAGAUGCGUUGUGCAUAGUCACCAAACUUUGAAUUAUAUUGUUAGAGGUCAUCAUCUGUAAAACGGAACGUGAAAUUAAUGAAUAAUACUAGUUCCUUUUUGUUCUAACAAGCUUAUCAGAAGUCAGCUUCAUCUAAUCAAAAGAAUAGGUCGGCAAGAAAAAAUAUCAAGUAUCAUUUGAAUCACUCUUAAUUAACUGAAGUUUAAUAGUUAAAGCAACAAAGGGAGAUGAUAGAUUUGCCGGCAAAAUAACAAAAAACUAAAGACAUGACACACAACACUACCGAUUAAGUAACUUGGACAGGCGCAUUACCUUUUAGUGAGGUUAAACUAUUUUUUUCUUAAAAUGGAUCCUCUCUAUGUUGAACAGGAGCUGUUUUCGCUUCAGGAGCACCUGAGAUCACCCCAGUUCUGGUGGGGUUCGUGUUGCCAUGUCUUUAAUUUUAUAUGUUGUAUCUAGUGUGCUAUUAGUGUGUUUGUCUGUUUGUUCUUUUCUCUUUUAGCCAUGGCCGUUUAUUUUUAAUCUAUGAGUUUGAUUGUCCCUCUGGUGUCUAUUGCCCAAAUUUUUCUGGAGUUGAGUUACAAUAUUACAGGAUAAUCUAUAGUCAUAUUAAUAGGUUUCUUGAAGUUCAUAUAUUUUGUAAAAAAAUUAAAAGAAAAACUAACGAAAUGUUCCCACAUUAUAAGGGAUUCAGGAAUCUAAUCUUAUAUUUAUUGUAUUUUGAUAGCUGCACAACUCCUGAAUGUAAAACCAUUAGAACUUUGUUUAGCACUUAUCAAGACCAAGACAGAAUAUGGAGGUUUGUUAUACAAAUUUAAUUUAAUAUAAAACUCGUCAACGACUUUAUGCUU